RNAcentral lists this ribosomal RNA (253 nucleotides) under uncultured bacterium. Its description in RNAcentral is "partial 16S ribosomal RNA". It matches the Rfam family "Bacterial small subunit ribosomal RNA", at positions 524 to 776 of the family's 1533-position model. The record is from RNAcentral.
UACGUAGGGUGCAAGCGUUGUCCGGAAUUAUUGGGCGUAAAGAGCUCGUAGGCGGUUUGUCGCGUCGAAUGUGAAAACCCGGGGCUCAACCCCGGGCCUGCAUUCGAUACGGGCAGACUAGAGUUCGGUAGGGGAGUCUGGAAUUCCUGGUGUAGCGGUGAAAUGCGCAGAUAUCAGGAGGAACACCUAUGGCGAAGGCAGCUCGCUGGGACGGUAUUGACGCUGAGACGCGAAAGCGUGGGGAGCAAACAGG